Molecule: long non-coding RNA, 1158 nt
Organism: Aphis gossypii (cotton aphid)
Lineage: Eukaryota; Metazoa; Arthropoda; Insecta; Hemiptera; Aphididae
Exons: 5
Source: RefSeq, a predicted model, not a curated record
UAUAAUAAUUUUCCUGUGAUAAAAUGAACUCUCUAUUCGAAUGGACACUUAAUUCCUUAAUUUGGAGUAUGGAAUAUGAUCAAAAUGUAUAAAAGAUAAAUAAUACAUCCAAACUAUACAAAUUAAUAUACGAUGUGCGCCGUUUUUUAAAAAUCGAUUUUGUGACUACCUAUUUAAUAAAGCAAUUUAAAGAAAUACACACGUAUUAGUAUGUAACACAUAGUAUUGCGAAAUCUACAAGUCCUUGUAAAAUAUGCAAAAUAAUAACACUUUUCCUUGUUUGAAAACGCAUUCUGUUUCCUCCAAAGAACAUCGCAUGUCCUCGAAGAUUCAUAUAAAUAAUAUACUAAAUAAGAUAGUUAGUCAGUCUAACUUGCCUAUAUAGUACCCGAUUGUAAGAACUAAUUCAGCUCAUCGUGGACCUAUCCUCGUCGCUGUAUAUUGAAAUUUGAAGUUAUCCUCCAGCCAAGCUGUACACCAUUCAACAAUGAUAGGUACCUAUAAUAAAAUCCGGACUCACACUAAGUAGGUAUCAUAAAACAUUAAGAAAAAAAAAAUUAAUCAAUGAAGCUUGCAGUAGCCAGUAAGUAAAUCAAAACACUCGAUUCCAUUGAUGUAUUUUCCUAUUUUAGUUACUUGUUAACUCGAAACUAAGAAGUAAGUACAAUACAUUAUACAGGAACAUUUAUAGGGAGGUUUUGUAGUUUAAACCUCCCUUCCGAAAAAUAAUAGUAGGUAGUGUAAUUUAUUUAUAUCAAUCAUCGAUAAUUACAAUAACGAGUCGGUGACAGUUUUCUGGAAUAGUGUCGUCGAUAAGAUAUCGAUGUGAUUACAAAAAAUUAUUAGACUAGGUCCAAAGAAAUUAAAAAAUGAACACGAAGCAGAAGAGUUGCAAUUAAUCAUAGUUGAAACUGAGAUGAUCAUGAACUAAGCAACCAGAAAUUUAAUUAACAUAGAAAAUGAAAUUAAUUAAUUAAAAUACAUACAAUGAGUUGAAAACUAAAUGGCCAAAGUUUGAAGAGAUUUGCAUACUUAGACAUAGUGAGUCCAGCACAUUGGCUAUCAGGUGAAGAUUCUAGUAAAGGAUCACUUGGAACCUUAGUGGCAUUGCUAUAUCGUCGAAAAUUUGGACCAUUCAGAGCUUCAAUUAAAGGAACA